AAGACUGUACUUUCAGGGAUCAUUUCUAUAGUUUUUGACUUGAGAAAUGUGUUUCUACAGUGUGUGGUCUCGCUAACCAUGAUGAUGAGUUGUGAUUUUCUCUUUUGAGCAUGAAGCUGAUAGAGUAGUGCUGUACUGCACAUGGUCUGUCAUUGAUGAUUACCUUUUGCUCUACUGUAGAGCACUGAGGAAGGGAAUUUGAUCAGAGUGGC
Molecule: small nucleolar RNA, 212 nt
Organism: Astatotilapia calliptera (eastern happy)
Lineage: Eukaryota; Metazoa; Chordata; Actinopteri; Cichliformes; Cichlidae
Gene: U3
Rfam family: Small nucleolar RNA U3
About the family: Small nucleolar RNAs (snoRNAs) are involved in the processing and modification of rRNA in the nucleolus. There are two main classes of snoRNAs: the box C/D class, and the box H/ACA class. U3 snoRNA is a member of the box C/D class.
Source: Ensembl